RNAcentral lists this ribosomal RNA (601 nucleotides) under Symbiodinium sp. B1. RNAcentral describes it as "eukaryotic LSU rRNA". It matches the Rfam family "Eukaryotic large subunit ribosomal RNA", at positions 33 to 644 of the family's 3401-position model. Lineage: Eukaryota; Dinophyceae; Suessiales; Symbiodiniaceae. The record is from RNAcentral.
UUUAAGCAUAUAAGUAAGCGGGGGAAAAGGAACUAAAUAGGAUUCCCUCAGUAAUGGCGAAUGAACAGGGAUGAGCUCAGGCUGGAAACCGAUACAUCUGUGUCGGGCUGUAGCCUGCAGGCAUAGCGCUAUCGGCGGCUCGAGCGCAAGCCUCUUGGAAUAGAGCGUGUGCCCGGGUGAGAAUCCUGCAUUUCGCUCGAUGUCCGCUGUCCACAGUGCUUGUCCUGAGAGUCACGCUCCUCGGAAUUGGAGCGUAAAUCAGGUGGUAAGUUUCAUCCAAAGCUAAAUAGAAGCUCGAGACCAAUAGCAAACAAGUACCAUGAGGGAAAGAUGAAAAGGACUUUGGAAAGAGAGUUAAAAGUGUUUGAAAUUGCUGAGAGCGAAGCGAACGGAGCCACAUGUCGUGCUGAGAUUGCUGUGGGUCUUUGUGAGCCUUGAGCAUGUAAGCGCAAGCUGACUGCUUAUGUGUGAGCAUUUGCCCGCAGUGUUUCUCAGCAUGCGAGUCAUUAGCCACAUUUGUUUGAGGAUGGCCUUCAGCUCACAUGGUACACUUGUUAGUGUUCCUCUGUGCGGUGUGGGACUCAGACAGGUGUGGCUUGUU